Molecule: ribosomal RNA, 611 nt
Filed under: uncultured bacterium
Lineage: Bacteria
Description: bacterial SSU rRNA
Rfam family: Bacterial small subunit ribosomal RNA
Source: RNAcentral
CCUACGGGAGGCAGCAGUAAGGAAUAUUGGUCAAUGGAGGCAACUCUGAACCAGCCAUGCCGCGUGCAGGAUGACGGCCCUAUGGGUUGUAAACUGCUUUUAUACAAGAGAAAACCCUGGUACGUGUACCAGGUUGAUAGUAUUGUAAGAAUAAGCAUCGGCUAACUUCGUGCCAGCAGCCGCGGUAAGACGAAGGAUGCAAGCGUUAUCCGGAUUCAUUGGGUUUAAAGGGUGCGUAGGCGGACUGAUAAGUCAGUGGUGAAAUCUCUUUGCUUAACAAAGAAACUGCCAUUGAUACUGUCGGUCUAGAGUAUAGAUGACGUUGGCGGAAUAUGACAUGUAGUGGUGAAAUACUUAGAUAUGUCAUAGAACACCGAUUGCGAAGGCAGCUAACGAAACUAUAACUGACGCUGAGGCACGAAAGUGCGGGGAUCAAACAGGAUUAGAUACCCUGGUAGUCCGCACCGUAAACGAUGAUUACUCGUUGUUGGCGAUAUGACAGUCAGCGACCAAGCGAAAGCGAUAAGAAUCCACCUGGGGAGUACGCCGGCACGGUGAAACUCAAAGGAUUGACGGNUUGAGACGNGCGAGGACGACGACGAGGGAGGAGG